AUAACACUUGGAAACAGGUGCUAAUACCGCAUAACCAUAGUUACCGCAUGGUAACUAUGUAAAAGGUGGCUAUGCUACCGCUUUUGGAUGGGCCCGCGGCGCAUUAGCUAGUUGGUGGGGUAAAGGCUUACCAAGGCAAUGAUGCGUAGCCGAACUGAGAGGUUGAUCGGCCACAUUGGGACUGAGACACGGCCCAAACUCCUACGGGAGGCAGCAGUAGGGAAUCUUCCACAAUGGGCGAAAGCCUGAUGGAGCAACGCCGCGUGGGUGAAGAAGGUCUUCGGAUCGUAAAACCCUGUUGUUAGAGAAGAAAGUGCGUGAGAGUAACUGUUCACGUUUCGACGGUAUCUAACCAGAAAGCCACGGCUAACUACGUGCCAGCAGCCGCGGUAAUACGUAGGUGGCAAGCGUUAUCCGGAUUUAUUGGGCGUAAAGGGAACGCAGGCGGUCUUUUAAGUCUGAUGUGAAAGCCUUCGGCUUAACCGGAGUAGUGCAUUGGAAACUGGGAGACUUGAGUGCAGAAGAGGAGAGUGGAACUCCAUGUGUAGCGGUGAAAUGCGUAGAUAUAUGGAAGAACACCAGUGGCGAAAGCGGCUCUCUGGUCUGUAACUGACGCUGAGGUUCGAAAGCGUGGGUAGCAAACAGGAUUAGAUACCCUGGUAGUCCACGCCGUAAACGAUGAAUGCUAAGUGUUGGAGAGUUUCCGCCCUUCAGUG
Molecule: ribosomal RNA, 716 nt
Filed under: uncultured bacterium
Lineage: Bacteria
Description: bacterial SSU rRNA
Rfam family: Bacterial small subunit ribosomal RNA
Source: RNAcentral